RNAcentral lists this ribosomal RNA (492 nucleotides) under uncultured bacterium. Its description in RNAcentral is "partial 16S ribosomal RNA". It matches the Rfam family "Bacterial small subunit ribosomal RNA", at positions 29 to 507 of the family's 1533-position model. The record is from RNAcentral.
AUUGAACGCUGGCGGCAUGCUUUACACAUGCAAGUCGAACGGUAACAGGCCUUCGGGUGCUGACGAGUGGCGAACGGGUGAGUAAUGCAUCGGAACGUACCCAGAGGUGGGGGAUAACGCAGCGAAAGCUGUGCUAAUACCGCAUGUGAUCUGAGGAUGAAAGCGGGGGACCGAGCAGCAAUGUUUGGCCUCGCGCCUUUGGAGCGGCCGAUGUCGGAUUAGCUAGUUGGUGGGGUAAAGGCCUACCAAGGCGACGAUCCGUAGCUGGUCUGAGAGGACGACCAGCCACACGGGGACUGGGACACGGCCCAGACUCCUACGGGAGGCAGCAGUGGGGAAUUUUGGACAAUGGGCGCAAGCCUGAUCCAGCAAUGCCGCGUGCGGGAAGAAGGCCUUCGGGUUGUAAACCGCUUUUGGCAGGAACGAAACGGUGUCCGCUAAUACCGGGCGCUAAUGACGGUACCUGCAGAAUAAGCACCGGCUAACUACGUG